Molecule: non-coding RNA, 72 nt
Organism: Camelus ferus (Wild Bactrian camel)
Lineage: Eukaryota; Metazoa; Chordata; Mammalia; Artiodactyla; Camelidae
Source: Rfam
GAGAGUAUCGCUUAGUGGUAGAGUGGGUGCUUAUCAUGCAGAAGGUCCUGGGUUCAAUCCCCAGUACCGCCU